This 253-nucleotide ribosomal RNA is filed under the name uncultured bacterium. RNAcentral describes it as "partial 16S ribosomal RNA". It matches the Rfam family "Bacterial small subunit ribosomal RNA", at positions 524 to 776 of the family's 1533-position model. The record is from RNAcentral.
UACGUAGGGACCAAGCGUUGUUCGGAUUUACUGGGCGUAAAGGGCGCGUAGGCGGCAAUUCAAGUCAUCUGUGAAAUCUCCGGGCUUAACUCGGAACGGUCAGAUGAUACUGCUUUGCUCGAGUGCGGAAGGGGCAAUCGGAAUUCUUGGUGUAGCGGUGAAAUGCGUAGAGAUCAUGAGGAAGACCAGUGGCGAAGGCGGGUCUCUGGACAGUUCCUGACACUGAGACACGAAGGCCAGGGGAGCAAACGGG